Molecule: ribosomal RNA, 484 nt
Filed under: uncultured bacterium
Lineage: Bacteria
Description: partial 16S ribosomal RNA
Rfam family: Bacterial small subunit ribosomal RNA
Source: RNAcentral
AUUGAACGCUGGCGGCAGGCCUAACACAUGCAAGUCGAGCGGAUGAAGGGAGCUUGCUCCUGGAUUCAGCGGCGGACGGGUGAGUAAUGCCUAGGAAUCUGCCUGGUAGUGGGGGAUAACGUCCGGAAACGGGCGCUAAUCCCGUAUACGUCCUGAGGGAGAAAGUGGGGGUUCUUCGGACCUCACGCUAUCAGAUGAGCCUAGGUCGGAUUAGCUAGUUGGUGGGGUAAAGGCCUACCAAGGCGACGAUCCGUAACUGGUCUGAGAGGAUGAUCAGUCACACUGGAACUGAGACACGGUCCAGACUCCUACGGGAGGCAGCAGUGGGGAAUAUUGGACAAUGGGCGAAAGCCUGAUCCAGCAAUGCCGCGUGUGUGAAGAAGGUCUUCGGAUUGUAAAGCACUUUAAGUUGGGAGGAAGGGCAGUAAGUUAAUACCUUGCUGUUUUGACGGUACCAACAGAAUAAGCACCGGCUAACUUCGUG